Non-coding RNA from Phalacrocorax carbo (great cormorant), 1853 nucleotides. The record is from RefSeq and is a predicted model, not a curated record. Lineage: Eukaryota; Metazoa; Chordata; Aves; Suliformes; Phalacrocoracidae.
UGCCGAGAGCUUUUUCUCGUCUCGGGGGUGCGUCGCUUGUAGCGUUCUGCGUAGUGUGGGUGUGCGCUGUGGGCGUUUGGCUUGGAUCUGCCCUGGCCCUGGAUGUAGAGGUAGCGGUGGGGGGGCCUAGUGGCGAUAGCUUGCGGUUCGUCGGUUGCUGUGCCUGGGCUCUUGUGGGAAAGGUCAGAUGGAGCCGUCUUGGAUCGAGUGGCCGUAGCCAGCGGGCGAGGACGGUAAUUUCCGUAGUGUUUUGUGGGCUCGGAGGGGAUGACGGGAGCUGUCUGGGAGAGGGCGCUAGGGUUCUGUCUGAGCGGAUGGCCUCUGAAGGGUGUUUGAGGUUUUGUACGUGUGUAGGGCUGAACGUGUGAUUUCCCAUCUUGCUUUCAAGGGCAGGGUGUAAGGGGGCUCCAGAUGGUAUCGCCAUGUGGGAAUGAGACCUGUGGAACGGUAAAGCUCUGUUGUUGUGCAUCCAGGUGACUGGCUUGACGUUGUUUUUCACAUGCCGGGGGAGGAGUCGUGCAGGGCGACGGAGGAGAACCGACGACUGCUCUGCAAGCAGCCGGUAAAGCGAGGAGCAAUGGGCGCUUUGGGCACCGGAGGCGGUCGGGCAAGGCGAGCGGCCAUCAGUGGGCUGAAGCAGCGGUUCUUUUUGACGUGGAGCGUCGCUGGUGAAGGCGUUCCACGGCGGCUCGGAGCGGCGCUGUUGCGUGCCCGUGGGAGGUCUGAGAGGGCGAGGCAGUGGUCGGCAUCUAAGGUCGGAGAUUGCUGCGGUCCAUUGUUAAGCCUGUAAGUUUUGCAGGCAGCAUCCGGGCGGUCUUUGGAACGGCGUAACGGGCGUUUGAAGUGAGCCGGGUAGCGAUGGAGAAGUACACGGGGCUGGUGGUUUUUCACGAGUGUACCGGUAGCUUGGUGUGUUUCGGCAUAUCGGGGGCCAAAAGCGAUGACGGGUGCGGUGCGUGGUGCUGGCAUCGGUGCAGAGCAGGUGAGCCGAUGGACAUGUUCCUUUUGAGAAGGGUGACGUUCUGGAAGGGAUCUGCGGUGACCCGUGUGAUACUUGUCGCUGGCGCUGGGUGGUUUUUUUUUUAUUUUUCUUUCAGAUGAUGAAGGGAAGCCUGGCAACUGCAGGAAUAUCCUGUUAGCUGCUGUGUUUUCUGGUGUGAAAGGUUUGAGAACCUGAGCCAUCUGAAAGCCACACAGUCUGUCUUUUUGACUUUGGUUAGGAAGAGAUUUUGAAAAAUGUAAAUAUUUCGUAUUUCACAUUCUAUGAACUUUCCAUCAGAGUGGAUUUUUGGAGAUGGUGUAUUUGGCAUCAGAAUUAAUGAUAACAAGAGUUAUUAUUCUAGAAUGAAGUUGAUAUUUUUUUGUUUUAAAAAAAUAAUAUCCAAGUACAGCACAAUAGUGUAAAUGGUGACGGUAUCGUUAGUGUUUGGGUUUUCAGCUGUCACAAUUAAGAUAUAAAAUGGUGUUCUGCAUGAUUCAGUACAGCCAAAUAAUUUAGCAAAUGUGGAAGUGUAUUUUGGUUGCUUUAGGUAUUACAGCACUGUGGAUUUGACACCUCCCCCCUUCUUCCCUGAAACUAUAACCAUAUGGGUGAUCUCUUACCUCUAUGAGUUUUCUAUUAUAAAUGAUACUUAAAAAAAAAAAGCUAACAUUGUAUGAUUUACAAACUGACUUGUGUUGUUUAAACUCUAAGUGCCAAAUAGCUGUAGCUUAAGAUUUAUUAGGUGUAUGUAAGGAGUUAGGUAUUUGUUGGAAAUGUUUAUCAAGAGGGGCAACUGCAUGUUUUGGCUUUUUUCCCUUGAUAUUUUGAGGGAGCGUUACGAAGCACUUAACUUCCCCCUUGCUUUCAAGGG